Molecule: ribosomal RNA, 480 nt
Filed under: uncultured bacterium
Lineage: Bacteria
Description: bacterial SSU rRNA
Rfam family: Bacterial small subunit ribosomal RNA
Source: RNAcentral
AGGACGAACGCUGGCGGCGUGCCUAACACAUGCAAGUCGAACGGAGCGAAAGAAGCUUGCUUCUGGCGCUUAGUGGCGGACGAGUGAGUAACACGUGAGCAACCUGCCUUUCAGAGGGAAAUAAUGUCUGGAAACGGACACUAAUACCGCAUAAUAUCUUUUAACUGCAUGGUUGAAAGAUCAAAGGAGCAAUCCGCUGAAAGAUGGGCUCGCGUCUGAUUAGCCAGUUGGCGGGGUAACGGCCCACCAAAGCGACGAUCAGUAGCCGGACUGAGAGGUUGAACGGCCACAUUGGGACUGAGACACGGCCCAGACUCCUACGGGAGGCAGCAGUGGGGGAUAUUGCACAAUGGGGGGAACCCUGAUGCCAGCAACGCCGCGUGCAGGAAGACGGUCUUCGGAUUGUAAACUGUUGUUCUUCGUGACGAUAAUGACGGUAGCGAAGAAGGAAGCCACGGCUAACUACGUGCCAGCAGCCGC